GAUGAAAACGCAGCGAAAUGCGAUAAGUAAUGUGAAUUGCAGAAUUCAGUGAAUCAUCGAAUCUUUGAACGCACAUUGCGCCCGCCAGUAUUCUGGCGGGCAUGCCUGUUCGAGCGUCAUUUCAACCAUCAAGCCCUGCUUGCGUUGGGGUCCUGCGGCUGCCCGCAGGCCCUGAAAACCAGUGGCGGGCUCGCUAGUCACACCGAGCGCAGUAAUACAUCUCGCUUUGGGCGUGCGGCGGGUUCUUGCCGUUAAACACCCCCUUUUUACCAAGGUUGACCUCGGAUCAGGUAGGAAUACCCGCUGAACUUAAGCAUAUCAAUAAGCGAGGA
RNAcentral lists this unclassified non-coding RNA (332 nucleotides) under soil metagenome. RNAcentral describes it as "partial contains 5.8S ribosomal RNA, internal transcribed spacer 2, and large subunit ribosomal RNA". The stretch from base 1 to 119 matches the Rfam family "5.8S ribosomal RNA", at positions 35 to 154 of the family's 154-position model. The record is from RNAcentral.